RNAcentral lists this ribosomal RNA (522 nucleotides) under uncultured Zoogloea sp. RNAcentral's name for it is "bacterial SSU rRNA". It matches the Rfam family "Bacterial small subunit ribosomal RNA", at positions 8 to 525 of the family's 1533-position model. The record is from RNAcentral. Lineage: Bacteria; Pseudomonadati; Pseudomonadota; Betaproteobacteria; Rhodocyclales; Zoogloeaceae.
AGAGUUUGAUCAUGGCUCAGAUUGAACGCUGGCGGCAUGCUUUACACAUGCAAGUCGAACGGUAACAGGGAGCUUGCUCCGCUGACGAGUGGCGAACGGGUGAGUAAUGCAUCGGAACGUACCCAGUCGUGGGGGAUAACGUAGCGAAAGUUACGCUAAUACCGCAUACGUCCUGAGGGAGAAAGCGGGGGACCGAAAGGCCUCGCGCGAUUGGAGCGGCCGAUGUCGGAUUAGCUAGUUGGUAGGGUAAAGGCCUACCAAGGCGACGAUCCGUAGCGGGUCUGAGAGGAUGAUCCGCCACACUGGGACCGAGACACGGCCCAGACUCCUACGGGAGGCAGCAGUGGGGAAUUUUGGACAAUGGGUGCAAGCCUGAUCCAGCCAUGCCGCGUGAGUGAAGAAGGCCUUCGGGUUGUAAAGCUCUUUCAGGUGGAAAGAAAACGCAUGGGUCAAUACCCUGUGUGGAUGACGGUACCAUCAGAAGAAGCACCGGCUAACUACGUGCCAGCAGCCGCGGUAAUA